GAUGAACGCUAGCUACAGGCUUAACACAUGCAAGUCGUGGGGCAUCAUGAUGUAGUAAUACAUUGAUGGCGACCGGCGCACGGGUGAGUAACGCGUAUCCAACCUACCCUCCACUCAAGUAUAGGCUUCCGAAAGGGAGAUUAAUCCUUGAUAUCGUCAUUCUCUCUCCUGUUAGAAUGAUAAAAGGACAUCGUUUCGGUAGAGGAUGGGGAUGCGUUCCAUUAGGUAGUAGGUGGUUUAACAGGCCACCUAGCCGAUGAUGGAUAGGGGUUCUGAGAGGAAUAUCCCCCACACUGGUACUGAGAUACGGACCAGACUCCUACGGGAGGCAGCAGUGAGGAAUAUUGGUCAAUGGGCGCAAGCCUGAACCAGCCAUGUAGCGUGAAGGAUGACGGUUUUUUUGAUUGUAAACUUCUUUUCUGUGCGAUUAAAGUGUGGCAUUUAUGCCAUAUUGCA
Molecule: ribosomal RNA, 456 nt
Filed under: Bacteroidetes bacterium oral taxon 272
Lineage: Bacteria; Pseudomonadati; Bacteroidota
Description: bacterial SSU rRNA
Rfam family: Bacterial small subunit ribosomal RNA
Source: RNAcentral